This is a long non-coding RNA of Gasterosteus aculeatus aculeatus (three-spined stickleback), 285 nucleotides long. Lineage: Eukaryota; Metazoa; Chordata; Actinopteri; Perciformes; Gasterosteidae. The record is from Ensembl.
CACCGACUACUUCCUGGCUCCCUGAUGGGAAGCUUCCGGAUGCUGGUUUGCAACGUUCUUGAAGAGUUAAAGAUGAAGUGGAACCAGACGUCCAAGAAUUGGAGACGAAUUGGAGAUGAUGAAGAUCGAGACGAUGACGACGAUGAUGUUGAUGAAGAUGGAAAUGGUGAAACGUCUCAUCCUGUCCAUGGAUUAAGAGCUAUGUAAUGAACAUGUGGUCUUCUAGUGUCCAUUAGUACAACAUGUGAGAUUGGACACUGGAGCAUACAUACCAGACCAUACUGG